CCUACGGGAGGCAGCAGUGGGGAAUCUUGCGCAAUGGGUGAAAGCCUGACGCAGCGACGCCGCGUGAGGGAAGAAGGCCUUCGGGUUGUAAACCUCUUUCAGGAGGGACGAAGCUACUCGGGUGAAUAGCCCAGAGGGUGACGGUACCUCCAGAAGAAGCCCCGGCUAACUACGUGCCAGCAGCCGCGGUAAUACGUAGGGGGCAAGCGUUGUCCGGAUUUACUGGGCGUAAAGAGCGUGUAGGCGGCUUCGCAGGUCCGUUGUGAAAACUGAAGGCUUAACCUUCAGACGUCGACGGAAACCGCGUUGCUAGAGUCCGGAAGAGGAGAGUGGAAUUCCUGGUGUAGCGGUGAAAUGCGCAGAUAUCAGGAAGAACACCAAUGGCGAAGGCAGCUCUCUGGGACGGUACUGACGCUGAGACGCGAAAGCGUGGGGAGCGAACAGGAUUAGAUACCCUGGUAGUCCACGCCGUAAACGAUGGGUGCUAGGUGUGGGGGGUGUCGACUCCCCCCGUGCCGCAGCUAACGCAUUAAGCACCCCGCCUGGGGAGUACGGCCGCAAGGCUAAAACUUAAAGGAAUUGACGG
RNAcentral lists this ribosomal RNA (586 nucleotides) under uncultured bacterium. RNAcentral describes it as "bacterial SSU rRNA". It matches the Rfam family "Bacterial small subunit ribosomal RNA", at positions 338 to 916 of the family's 1533-position model. The record is from RNAcentral.